UAAGGCAGAAAUAAGGUGGUCUUUGUGCUCU
This 31-nucleotide non-coding RNA is filed under the name Rattus norvegicus (Norway rat). The record is from RNAcentral. Lineage: Eukaryota; Metazoa; Chordata; Mammalia; Rodentia; Muridae.